This 497-nucleotide ribosomal RNA is filed under the name uncultured bacterium. RNAcentral describes it as "partial 16S ribosomal RNA". It matches the Rfam family "Bacterial small subunit ribosomal RNA", at positions 28 to 507 of the family's 1533-position model. The record is from RNAcentral.
GAUGAACGCUGGCGGCGUGCCUAAUACAUGCAAGUCGAGCGAACAGACGAGGAGCUUGCUCCUCUGACGUUAGCGGCGGACGGGUGAGUAACACGUGGAUAACCUACCUAUAAGACUGGGAUAACUUCGGGAAACCGGAGCUAAUACCGGAUAAUAUAUUGAACCGCAUGGUUCAAUAGUGAAAGACGGUUUUGCUGUCACUUAUAGAUGGAUCCGCGCCGCAUUAGCUAGUUGGUAUGGUAACGGCUUACCAAGGCGACGAUGCGUAGCCGACCUGAGAGGGUGAUCGGCCACACUGGAACUGAGACACGGUCCAGACUCCUACGGGAGGCAGCAGUAGGGAAUCUUCCGCAAUGGGCGAAAGCUUGACGGAGCAACGCCGCGUGAGUGAUGAAGGUCUUCGGAUCGUAAAACUCUGUUAUUAGGGAAGAACAAAUGUGUAAGUAACUAUGCACGUCUUGACGGUACCUAAUCAGAAAGCCACGGCUAACUACGUG